AUGCUUUUGUUGUGUCUCCAGUACUGCAAACGUCCCUCCAUGCCUCGCCAAGGAAACAUUUGUGAGUCCAGCUUUGCACACUGCAGCAUCACCGGCAGCUCCAGAGUAGCUGCUAAACAUCACAGAAGUGGCUCGUUGUCCCACAGCCCCGACCAGAAAACACGAUCUGCCCAUUGGUCAGCUCCUCGCAGAACUCCGCCCAUACACAGAGGGAGGCUAAACCCCAUUGGAGGAUCGAAGUAUUCAGGCCCCGCCUACCAGCACCUCCAGGAGGUGGACCCGUCUGAGAAGGAGCCAGAAACGCAAAAAGGAGUCGACAUGCAGGGAGAGAACCAAGGAAACGACUCCAGACAAGAUGCCUUUGUACAUAUGCAAACUCCCGCUGCUAUGGAGACGCCGUCAGCUUUGCCUUGGUGCGGUCGUGAUGAGGUGUUUUCAGGCCCUCGUCCUCUGCCUCACCUGAACAGCCACCGCAGCCUGAGGAAACUCGACCAGCGCCAUAGCCUCUCCCCACCUCCCCCGUUUCGCUCCUGCUCCAUCCCCAUCAUCCCUUCCGUUCAGUGUCACCACGACAGCGAGGAGUCGUGUAUGCAAACCAGCCCAGAAACUACAGAGAUGUCAAUCACCUGCAGCGCCACACCCUGCAAACAGGAGAGGAGGGAGAUGUCGGCUCGAGCCCGGCUGUUCUCGUCCUCCUGCUCAUCGGCCGUUGGGCAGGACGAGGUGGCGCUGCUGCUGGAGGAGGCACAGGAGCAGCUCAGAGCACUGGCUCACAGGAAGCAGGAGGAGGGCGGGAUCUUUGCCAGAUCAACAGCCAUGCAGCUGGAGGCCAGAGAAACUGUCUGCUUCUUGAACCUUAAUGGAGGAACUUCUGGGGGACUUAGCUAUAACGGACCCAUGCAGACCCAACUUCUGAGCCAACCGCACAGAGACUCGGGCCAAAGCGGCCAAUGA
Molecule: long non-coding RNA, 954 nt
Filed under: Nothobranchius furzeri (turquoise killifish)
Lineage: Eukaryota; Metazoa; Chordata; Actinopteri; Cyprinodontiformes; Nothobranchiidae
Description: lncRNA (ENSNFUG00015015011.1)
Source: RNAcentral